Molecule: ribosomal RNA, 427 nt
Filed under: uncultured bacterium
Lineage: Bacteria
Description: bacterial SSU rRNA
Rfam family: Bacterial small subunit ribosomal RNA
Source: RNAcentral
UGGGGAAUCUUGCCCAAUGGGCGAAAGCCUGAGGCAGCGACGCCGCGUGAGGGAAGAAGGCCUUCGGGUUGUAAACCUCUUUCAGGAGGGACGAAGCUACUCGGGUGAAUAGCCCAGAGGGUGACGGUACCUCCAGAAGAAGCCCCGGCUAACUACGCGCCAGCAGCCGCGGUAAUACGUAGGGGGCAAGCGUUGUCCGGAUUUACUGGGCGUAAAGAGCGUGUAGGCGGCCAGACAGGUCUGUUGUGAAAACUAGAGGCUUAACCUCUAGACGUCGACAGAAACCGUCUGGCUAGAGUCCGGAAGAGGAGAGUGGAAUUCCUGGUGUAGCGGUGAAAUGCGCAGAUAUCAGGAAGAACACCAAUGGCGAAGGCAGCUCUCUGGGACGGUACUGACGCUGAGACGCGAAAGCGUGGGGAGCGAACAG